GUCAGGAAAUGUCUUGGAACAUCUGCACCGAAGAAGAAAGCUGCACUAAGGUUCUGCAAUAACUCUCUUGAGGCCCUCAUCUAUGGAGUCCACCAGCACCGGGAUGCCCUCUACCUGAGGGAUGGCUCCAGGAAACCCCCCCAGCCUCACCACGCCGGCCUGGGAGGUGGUUGCAAGGGAGGUCAGCUCAUUGGGCACUCGCCCAAGAAACACAAUCCAGUGGAGGUAGAGGAUAAAUGAUCUCAUCCGCUCCGCCAGGGCACUAGAGGCCCAGACAGAACACCAGAGCAACCAUAUGCCCCAGCCCCCAGGCCACUUCAGAGGAGGAUGCUGAGGGUGCAUCAGAGGAAGAACUGUCACGCCAUUCACCUGCAGCUUCCAUCAGCAGUGGGUCAUGGAUCUAGAUUAGGCUCAGUGUCACAUUCUGGAGAACAUCUCACUGACACAUCUCCGCAGCAGUCGGAGGCAGUGACAGCCAGGAGGACUGCUGGAGAUCAGGCAUCCACUGAGUCUGAGUCAGAUGAUGAGCCUCUGCAAGUGGCUGUCUCUGACAUGCUGCAGAUCCAACGACAGACAGCGGAAAAUCAGGACCAGCCCUCAUACAACAGGUGUCACACCUACGAAGUUAUUGUUGAAACACCA
Carcharodon carcharias (great white shark) is the source of this 642-nucleotide long non-coding RNA. RefSeq lists it as uncharacterized. The record is from RefSeq and is a predicted model, not a curated record. The transcript is spliced from 3 exons. Lineage: Eukaryota; Metazoa; Chordata; Chondrichthyes; Lamniformes; Lamnidae.